RNAcentral lists this ribosomal RNA (403 nucleotides) under Verrucomicrobiota bacterium. RNAcentral describes it as "Verrucomicrobia bacterium partial 16S ribosomal RNA". It matches the Rfam family "Bacterial small subunit ribosomal RNA", at positions 355 to 776 of the family's 1533-position model. The record is from RNAcentral. Lineage: Bacteria; Pseudomonadati; Verrucomicrobiota.
UGGGGAAUAUUGCACAAUGGGCGCAAGCCUGAUGCAGCAACGCCGCGUGAACGAUGAAGGUCUUCGUAUCGUAAAGUUCUGUUGCAGGGGAAGAUAAUGACGGUACCCUGUGAGGAAGCCCUGGCUAACUACGUGCCAGCAGCCGCGGUAAUACGUAGGGGGCUAGCGUUAUCCGGAUUUACUGGGCGUAAAGGGUGCGUAGGUGGUCUUUCAAGUCGGUGGUUAAAGGCUACGGCUCAACCGUAGUUAGCCUCCGAAACUGGAAGACUGGAGUGCAGGAGAGAAAAGUGGAAUUCCUAGUGUAGCGGUGAAAUGCGUAGAGAUUAGGGGGAACACCGGUGGCGAAAGCGGCUUUUUGGACUGCAACUGACACUGAGGCGCGAAAGCGUGGGGAGCAAACAGG